Corvus moneduloides (New Caledonian crow) is the source of this 2239-nucleotide long non-coding RNA. The record is from Ensembl. NCBI's taxonomy places the organism in Eukaryota, Metazoa, Chordata, Aves, Passeriformes, Corvidae.
CUAUUCCCGGCUGUCCAUCCCUAUAAUUACCCCAUCCCAGGCAGCAGCCGGGGCCGGAGCUCCCAGGUUUCUCCUUCCCGAGUAUUUUUAGCUGCGGUUCCAGCCGGGAAAGGGCCCGGCAGCCGCAGCCCGGAGGAAGAGCCGGGUCCCGCCGCCUCUCUUGGGCUCAUCCGGCUGAACAAUGGCCCGAAGAGGCUGGAAAAUGCUCCCGCUUCCCGGGGCUGGCGCCGGGAGCCGGGCAGGGCUGGGCAGGCUCUUGGAGAGCCCCGUCCCCGCCCCGGCACCAGCGCUGCCACCCGCGGGGUGACCUCGGCCUGCUGGGACGGCUCUCAUCGCCCCCAGCAUGAGCGUCCCUCCGGGGAAGAGGGAUUGUCCCCAAAUCCAUGAAAUCCGUGUCCCUGACCCUUAGGGGCAACCUAAGGCCACCAGGAGCGUGGGGACAGCUUGGGGACACGGGUGACCUGAGGCUCUCCCGAGAUCCCAACGCUCAGGCCGAGCCAUUCCUUCAGGGAUUUCAGGAUUGUCCCCAAAUCCGUGAAAUCCUUGUCACUACCCUUUGGAGGAACAUGGCGGGAGGGGGACAGCCACCCAAGGCCACCAGGAGCAUGGGGACAGCUCGGGGACAGCCACCCAAGGCCACCAGGAGCACGGGGACAGCUCGGGGACAUGGGGUGACAGUGAGGCAGAGGAGGAGGAGGGCUCUGGCAGCAGACGAAGGCUCGGGGGCUGGACGCUGCCCACCGCUGUCCCCACGUGUCCCCUCUCCCCAGGCCCGGCUGGAGGCCAAUGUCACCGCGCUGGGGGACGCGCUGGUGGCCCUGCGGCGAGAGCGGGCCGAGCUGGCCGGUGACAAAGCGGCGCUGCAAGGUGAGCUCUGUCCCCCGCACACCGAGGCCGGCCGGGGCUCCGCCAGCCCGAUUCGGGGUGACGCCGGUGUCGCCGCUGUCCCCAGAGGAGGUGGCGCGGGGCGCGGAGCAGGCGCGGGGGCUGCGGCGGCGGCUGCAGGAGGCGCUGGAGCAGCAGCGGGAGCUGCGGGAGCGCCGGGAGCGCUGCGAGGCGCGGCACAGGGACCUGGAGAACACCCUCCGGGACUACGCGGCCGAGGUGGAGGCGCUGCGGCGGCGGGGGAGGGACAGAGCCACCGGGCGCAGGUGUCCCCUGUCCCGGAAAGGCUGAGGCCCCGCAGCCCCCCCGGUCCCGCCCCGCUGAGCGCGACGUUCCCGGUGUCCCCGCCGUGUCCCCGCGGUGUCCCCAACACCGGGACCAGCGGGGGCUCAUUCCCGGCCCCGGAGCCGCCAGCGCAGCCCGGGGAGCGAUGGGGGUGGGAGACGUGUCCUGAUCCCAUCCUGUGUGCCCUAAUCCCACUGAGAUUCCUGAUUUGAUCCCGUGUCCCCAUCCCACUGUGGCUCCUGAUCCCAUCCCAUGUCCCGAUCCCGCGGUGUCCCGAUCCCAUCCUGCGCACUGAUCCCGCGGUGUCCCGAUCCCACUGCACGUCCUAAUCCCGCUGUGUCCCAAUCCCGAUCCCGAUCCCACCGCGUGUCCCGAUCCCACAUCCCCCAAUCCCUUUGCGAUGCCACCGCGUGUCCCAUUCCCGCGGUGUCCCCAUCCCACUCCGCAGCCGGACACGGGACUGAGGGGUCCCUUUCCCGGUUUUGGGGCAGUUUCGGCUCAUCCCGGACACCGUUUUCCCACCGGAGCUCUGGGAUGCGCUCCGGGAGUUACCGCCACAUCCGCAGCGCUCCGGAAACCGGGAACACCGGGAAUUUUGGGAAGAUUGGGUAAUAAAGGCUGCUCUGCUCUCGGGGACAUCUCCCUGCGCCACCAGCCCGCUGUCCCCUAUUCCCCUGACCCCAACUGGCCCCUCCCCAAACCCAAAUAUCUCCCCAAACUCCAGCGAUUUCUCCCAUCCCCGGAUCCCAACGGCACUGCCAGGGACCCCAAAACGCGCCGAGGGGGGACUGGGGGACACGGAGCCACCACCCGCCUGUCGCGGGGCCACUCCCGGUGUCCGUCCCCUCACGGCGACAUCGCUGCCACGGUGGCUCCACCCAGCCGGGGGUUGGCAGCAGUGUCCCCACCCCAGUGUCACCCAGGCUGGCUUGGGGACACGCCGGGGACUCGGAGGGGACUCCGUGAAGGGACGAAGGUGGCGUUUGGGGUGGGAUGGCUGAAGGGGGGGAGGACACACUGCCCCUUUGCCCCUCAGUGCCACCACAAGCGGGGUGUCCGGCGGUGUCCA